UAUGAAGAACGUAGCGAAAUGCGAUAAGUAAUGUGAAUUGCAGAAUUCAGUGAAUCAUCGAAUCUUUGAACGCACAUUGCGCCCGCCAGUAUUCUGGCGGGCAUGCCUGUUCGAGCGUCAUUUCAACCCUCAAGCUCAGCUUGGUGUUGGGACUCGCGGUAACCCGCGUUCCCCAAAUCGAUUGGCGGUCACGUCGAGCUUCCAUAGCGUAGUAAUCAUACACCUCGUUACUGGUAAUCGUCGCGGCCACGCCGUAAAACCCCAACUUCUGAAUGUUGACCUCGGAUCAGGUAGGAAUACCCGCUGAACUUAAGCAUAUCAAUAAGCGGAGGA
RNAcentral lists this unclassified non-coding RNA (333 nucleotides) under soil metagenome. RNAcentral describes it as "partial contains 5.8S ribosomal RNA, internal transcribed spacer 2, and large subunit ribosomal RNA". The stretch from base 2 to 120 matches the Rfam family "5.8S ribosomal RNA", at positions 36 to 154 of the family's 154-position model. The record is from RNAcentral.